Long non-coding RNA from Sebastes umbrosus (honeycomb rockfish), 92 nucleotides. RefSeq lists it as uncharacterized. The transcript has 3 exons. The record is from RefSeq and is a predicted model, not a curated record. Lineage: Eukaryota; Metazoa; Chordata; Actinopteri; Perciformes; Sebastidae.
AGUGAAAUGUACAAAAAAAUAGUAACAUCGUAAAAUAAGAGGAAACUAAAUGAGAAAUGAAGAGACUAUAAAUCAGUUAAAAAAUAAGCAAU